GAUGAACGCUGGCGGCGUGCCUAAUACAUUCAAGUCGAGCGAACAGAUAAGGAGCUUGCUCCUUUGACGUUAGCGGCGGACGGGUGAGUAACACGUGGGUAACCUACCUAUAAGACUGGGAUAACUUCGGGAAACCGGAGCUAAUACCGGAUAACAUUUGGAACCGCAUGGUUCUAAAGUGAAAGAUGGUUUUGCUAUCACUUAUAGAUGGACCCGCGCCGUAUUAGCUAGUUGGUAAGGUAACGGCUUACCAAGGCAACGAUACGUAGCCGACCUGAGAGGGUGAUCGGCCACACUGGAACUGAGACACGGUCCAGACUCCUACGGGAGGCAGCAGUAGGGAAUCUUCCGCAAUGGGCGAAAGCCUGACGGAGCAACGCCGCGUGAGUGAUGAAGGGUUUCGGCUCGUAAAACUCUGUUAUUAGGGAAGAACAAACGUGUAAGUAACUGUGCACGUCUUGACGGUACCUAAUCAGAAAGCCACGGCUAACUACGUG
This 497-nucleotide ribosomal RNA is filed under the name uncultured bacterium. RNAcentral's name for it is "partial 16S ribosomal RNA". It matches the Rfam family "Bacterial small subunit ribosomal RNA", at positions 28 to 507 of the family's 1533-position model. The record is from RNAcentral.